Non-coding RNA from Triticum aestivum (bread wheat), 126 nucleotides. The record is from Rfam. NCBI's taxonomy places the organism in Eukaryota, Viridiplantae, Streptophyta, Magnoliopsida, Poales, Poaceae.
CACAUACUCCCUCCGUUCAAAAAAAUUUGUCCCUCAAAUGGAUGUAUCUAGCAUCAAGUUAAUACUAGAUACAUCCAUUUGAGAGACAAGAUUGGGACAAGCUUUUUCGGACGGAGAUAGUAUUUG